Molecule: long non-coding RNA, 924 nt
Filed under: Populus tremula
Lineage: Eukaryota; Viridiplantae; Streptophyta; Magnoliopsida; Malpighiales; Salicaceae
Description: long non-coding RNA (PTRE_LNC001594)
Source: RNAcentral
UUUCAUAUAUUUAUUGUAGGUUCUCCUAACGAUCCUUAAUCGGAUUUUCGGGUCUUUUGUCUGACAUUCCUUUAGUUCAGUAUUUUCCGGGUGAGUGGAAUAAUCUUUAAUAUGCAUAUAAUAUAAAUAAAUAUGUAUGUUGAUUAUACAAUGAGUACAACUAGUAAAUUUCUUGAAUAUUUAUAUAUGUUGCUUUAUUUUCCGAGUACUCAUUUAUUCUUGAAUUUGCACUCGCAAUCUGAUAAAGUAAAUUCUAUUUGAUAGAUAUGAUAUACGUUUUUGAUGAUGUGAAUAUCUAUUAUGCCUUGAUAUGGGACUUGUCAGUAACUCCAUGCUAACGGAGAAUAGUUAGCCUGUGUGCACAUAGUAUUCUGUUACCUAGCUGGUGAGAGAGGCAUCAGCCUGUGGCGAUUAAUCAUCCCACAGUGGUCACCGACGGGUGUCAUCUGGUCACCGACGGGUGUCAUCUGGUCACCUUCGGGUGUCAUCUGGGUCACCUUCGGGUGUCAUCUGAUCUCUGACAUGUAAUCCACUACGUUAUGAUAAUAUGUUUAGUAAGUAUAUGUAUAUGUAUAUUAAGAUAAAUCAUCUUACAAAUUAUUAAUAUCUUAAAUAUCUUAAAUGUAUAUUAAAUGUUAUUCCCUCACUGAGUUGGUUGAACUCACCUCUCAUUUUUAAUAUUAUUUCAGGUUCUUAAUUUCUGAGACUUUGUUGAGUGUUUCCGCUUCUUCAGUUCUGGUCGGUAUGCCUUGCUUGUUCGCGAGGCUUUCCUUUCAGUUUUGAUUUGAUGUCUUAGACGCUCCACUGUUACCUUGUUUUAAUUAAGUUUGGAUUUUGGCAAUGUAAAUAGUAUUAUGAAUUAUUAUUUUUGUUUUAAUAACUAUCUUUCGGUUUCAUUAGUAUUUGAAUAAUAUAAUAUUUCUG